AUUGAACGCUGGCGGCAGGCCUAACACAUGCAAGUCGAGCGGAGCGGCGGACGGGUGAGUAAUGCCUAGGAAUCUGCCUGGUAGUGGGGGAUAACGUCCGGAAACGGGCGAUAAUACCGCAUAAUAUCAGAUGAGCCUAGGUCGGCUUAGCUAGUUGGUGGGGUAAAGGCCUACCAAGGCGACGAUCCGUAGCUGGGCUGAGAGGAUGAUCCGUCACACUGGAACUGAGACACGGUCCAGACUCCUACGGGAGGCAGCAGUGGGGAAUAUUGGGCAAUGGGCGAAAGCCUGAUCCAGCAAUGCCGCGUGUGUGAAGAAGGUCUUCGGAUUGUAAAGCACUUUAGGUUGGGAGGCGUUACCUACAGAGUAAGCACCGGCUAACUACGUGCCAGCAGCCGCGGUAAUAC
This 407-nucleotide ribosomal RNA is filed under the name uncultured bacterium. RNAcentral describes it as "partial 16S ribosomal RNA". It matches the Rfam family "Bacterial small subunit ribosomal RNA", at positions 30 to 526 of the family's 1533-position model. The record is from RNAcentral.